UUUUUUUUUUUUCUUUUUUCAUUUUAUAAACCGGUUCAUUUUCAACUUUAGUCCUUUUAAUAUGCUUGAGAUUUAAUUCUUAUACUUUAAUUUCAAUUUUAGUCUUAAUAUGCUUAAAUUUAAUAUUUAAUCUUUAUACUUUAAUUUCAAUUUUAGCCACAAUAAGCUUUAUAUUUAAGAUUUAAUCCUUAUACUUUAAUCUUUUAACAUCAUUUCAUCUCUAUAUUUUUAUAAUUUUAUUAAUUAUUUCAAAUAGUUAAUAUCGUUAACUUUUCAAUUAAACGUGAUUACAUAUAAUUUGAAAAUAGAUUUUUAAAAUAAUAAGUUAGAGAAAUAAAUUCUAAAUAUACAAAGUGUAGAGAAUUACAGUUAUGGUUGUUUGAACUUAAUCAGAUCGGCUGGUUGGAUCGAGAAACUGUCAAGAUAUCAAUCCGAAGAGAGGCAUCAGAUUGAUUGACCUGCGAAUUGAUACGGACCGAUUGAACCAAACAAAAAAACCAAUUGAAUCAAAUUUUUUAAUGUUUUUUAAUAAUUCAUUUAAUUGAAUUGUAUGAAUUAACGGUCUGACCAAUUCAACCACUAAUCUAGUUUUGAAAACUUUGCUUAGAGUAUAUUUGAUCUUCAAAAUUUUACUCUAUAAUUUCACAUUAAGAAAUAAUCAACCAGACGUGGGUCAACCAUAUUAAUUCAUGCUCAAAUAUGAAAAAAAAAAUUGAUGGGGCACUCAUAUUUAUUAAAUAUAAUUAUAUUUUUUUAAAAUAAAUUAAAGUGUAAAAAUAAAAAUAAUUUUAUAUGUAGCACCCCAAACCCGGCCCAGUCGUUAAGGCCGAAUCCGACGUGCCACUUUGAAGUCAAAAACCCGUGUUCCUUUUUUAGUGUUUUAAAAAAAAACCGACUUUUGUCAAACUAACCAAGUGAAUGGAAGCUGGGCACCAGGUAGGUAUCCAUAACAGAGGAGGUGAGCCAUGGAGGCUGCUUAAGUACCAAGCUCUCCGAUUGGAUCCAAUCCUAGACAUGCCCACAUCCAUUGCCACACUUGAUUAUAACAAGUUGAAAUUUCUUUGAGUGAUUAUCUUUAGUAAACCGAAUAUUCGUGACGUCGUGUUAUUUUAAAAAAAAACAAGUAUCGUUUUGAAAUCACACCCUAAGUCUAGCCCAUUUGAAUUAGUAUCCAUCAAUUUAAAGUUGUUUUUAAUAAUAUAAUCCCAGAAAAAUCAAAGAAGAAAAUAAAGUUAAAAUGGCCUUAUUACAACCCAAAAAUUAAAUAGCAAUUAAAAAUAACUUAAGAAAACCAGUCUCUUUUUCAAACCCAAAAGUAUUCACCAUGGCCACUCUGAAUCCCCUCCGGCUCCAAGUCACCCACAUCAAGGCUCACCUGCAAGGUUAAAGAAGGGGUGAGUUUGGGGAAACUCAGUAUGUAAGGAAAACCCAUUCAAAGCCCAAGUCAGCUCAAGCCCAUUGGGCCUAAGCCCAUUUAGGUAACAGUGGUACUGGGCCAGAGCCCUUUUCAGAUUACAAUAAACUGGGCCUUAGCCCCUUAUUCAGAUAACAGUAUGGCCCAUAGGCCCAUUUCAAAAUACAUGCAACAUCAGUAAACAUAUGCAAGCCCAUUUGGGGAGACUACUCAACCCGCCAACCACUACACUCCACCCGUACCAGCCAUACACUCCAUGUGGGGAAUAGCUCAACCCACCCAGCCCAACACUCCACAGUUGCAGCCUUGCUGCUCAGUUAACUGUAAAUUGAGGCAAAGCCUCCAGUACGUGGACAAGCCACUUUCAGUACUUCCUCCGUCAAUAUCCCAGUCCCAUGCAUCAAAUAAUAACAACAUGGCAUGCAUUAAAUAACAACAGUCAAACAUGAAUUUAGGUCAAUUUAACCCUAUGGGUAUUUCGGUAAUUUAUCUCCUAAGGGUAAAACUGUAAAUUUUUCACUUUUAAAGGUAUUUCAGUAAUUUAUCUAUUUUAGGGUUUUUCAUGCAUAUUCCUACCUUUCACAUACUAACAGAAUCACUAUCGAGGGUUCUUACCGAAUUGGGCUCGUUGGCCCAUCAUUCCAAUUUUGGCCCAUUAAGCCCAAAAAUAUCGAGGGCACAAAAAUCAUGCACUUUGCAGUCCAAACAUUACAGCUUACCAAAAACAUUAAUCGAUUUACCUCACGAGCAUUCGUACACUCGCAAAUCUACAAAAUACCGGUUUUUGGCAUUUCGGCUUUUCGACUUUUGCCGAUCCAGACUAAGAAAGAGGGUGUUAGUUACACACCUGUUUGCGACGAUAUGCUGACGAGAUCCACACACGAACCGCCUACAAUUGGAUUACUAACACGUUAAUCUAACUAUUCAAAUACAAACUACGUAUUAACCCCUUACAAUAUUCGGCCAACCACACUUACAGAUCAUAGUAAGCUUAUAAGAAAUCAAUAAGCAACUCAUUAACAAAUUUUUGUCAAUGUUUACCACAUAAUCAUAAUUUCACUGUAAGCUGUCUUCCUGAGCAACAGUCACUAAAUCAUUUAUAACUGGAGCUACGAAACUCCAAAUCAAGUGCCGUUAAUUUUCUCUGAAAAUAGACUCAUAUAUCUUAUAUCCAUAAAAUUUCAGAAUUUUUGGUUUGACCAAUCAAUACCAGAUUUUUCUCAAAGUUUCGCAUGUUUCACUAUUUGACUAAUCUGACCACUCUUCAUUACAAAUCAAAUUUCUCAUUGUACAGAAUUCAAAAUAUGUUCUCGUUUAUUUCAUUUGAAACUAGACUCAACAAGAUUUAAUUACAUAAUUUAUUCAGCUUCUAAUUCAUCUCCCACAAUUUAUGGUGAUUUUCCAAAUUCACGUUUUAUUACUAAAUUCACUCUUUCACACAUAACUUGCAUGCAUGUUAUUUAAACAUGUAUAUCACCAAUCAAUCAUCACAUAUCUAUAAUUUUACUUAAGUAUAAUCUCCAUUUCAUCAUUUUAAAGCACAUGUUAGCCAAUUUUUCCCCUUAGCAUCUAAGGCACAUGCAUGCUCAUUUGUUUGGCUCAACUUCACCUAUCUUCCAUUUUUCAUCAAAAGAACAUGAAACAACAACCAUUUCCUUCAUUUUAAUUCAUGACUAAAUGCUCACAACACAACUAAAAACCAAAAUACGCUUCAAGAGUUAAGGUAGAAUCAAGAAGAACUCAUGAACCUCAAAAUAAAAGCAAACUACCAUGAACUUACCUUCAAUUUUUCUUCCCCAAGUGACCGAACAUUCAAGAGCUUUCUUCUCUCCUUUCUUUUCUCUAACUUUCGGCUAUUAUGAACAAAGAUGUACAAAACUUUGUUCUUUUCACCCCUUUUUUUAAAAUAAAAUUUCAUAUUUCAUCCAUUUAAUUCUUUAAUACAAAAGAAAUGAAAUUCCCAUCAUGGAACAUUUACCUAACCCAUUAUCAUGGAACAUUUACCUAACCCAUUAUCAAUUUGUAUCAAUUUGUACCAUAAAUUAUGGAUAUCAAGUGCACAUUUUGUCUACAACAACAUGAUGACUAGCCACUUCAUGUAAAAUGGGAGGUUUGUCAUGCAAAUCCUCCUAUUUUGCACUCCUAUUUAUUUGGCCACUUCAAUUUAGCCUAUAGCAUUUUCAAAUAUUUUCACAUAGGUUCUAUUUCAUAAUUUCACCCCAUUUUUCUUAUGGAACAAAAAUUAACUAAAAUUGUCGGGUUCUAUCUUAAGCUUGGCUUUCUAGAGGCCCACUAACAUAAUUAAACUUAUGCCAACAUUCACAGAAUUCCCGAAAAUUUGAGCGUUACAUUAUAAAUCAAUGAUUAUUUCUAGUAAUAAAAAAUAAUUUAUUUUACUGCAAAUGACAUAUUUAUCUUUAACAGAUAAGUUUGAUAUACUCAAUUUUUUCUUUUUCUUUUUUUGAAUUAUAAUAAUAGAGUAAAGCCUGAAUAAAAAACACGACUAGCGCGACUCGAACUCAAAUCACACCUGGGACAAUGAACAUCCUAUCAAUUUAAAUAAUUGGUGAUACUAAAUCAAGUGAUAUUUGGAUAAAAAAAGUACGUUUUUCCAAGAAAAAAAUUAUUAUUCUCAAUAUUCAUAAGAUGAAUUGGUUGUUGUGGUUUCUAUAAAGCUUAAAUUCAAUUAUACAAAGCAUUAAGACCAAUCUUUUUUUUCCUAAUAACUUAACAACCACCGUCCUUAUUAAACUCAUUUCAAUCAACUUAUGGACUCUAUCAGAAAAUUUGAUAGAGGGAACUCCAUUAACGAUCCUUAUUGCAAAAUCCCCCUCCAUAAGAGCAAUAUCAUCUUCAUCAAACGCUACACCAUUUCCUUUGGAUCCUUGACCAUUAUGCAUUAAUAGGUCAUUGAACCCCAUCGUCCCCCCAAUUGGAUUAGAGUCCAUAAGAUCACCCAAGUCAUUAGGCAGUUCUGCCUCUUGCCGAUGAACCUUUUUCAUAACCCUACCGCCAUUGGCAACGCCCAACGAGGAAGAGGUUAGAGUGUUUGAUUAAAGUGUUUGAUUGGAGCAAUUUAGAGCUUAAGGACUCAAUUGAGUUGUUUUUUUCCCAAAGAACAUGAUUGAUUUUUUUUUAACAGUACAAGGACUUUUCAUACAAAUACUUGAGCUAUAAGAUACGUAGAAAGUUGAAAACUGAAAGGAGGCCAGUAAUUAUACCAAAUCUUUGCCCUAAUUUCUUCUUUUAACUUUUUAAAUUAUACCAAAUCUAUACUUAUCUUGUAAUUUACUUCAAUUCAUAGAAUUCCCAUAAGGAAAAAAAAAAGAAAAAAACAAUUAUAUAGCACAAUUUCAGCGUACUAGAUUUCAAACUUGACAAUUUUUUUUAUUUAGUGUGAUGAUUAUAGUAUUUUAUGAUUGUGUCACAUCAUCACUUAAAUUUUUUAUAAAAAAAAUAUAAUUUCUACGUAAUGACAUGGCACAAUGUUAUAGUGUUAUGUCGUCACAUGGACCAAAAGUAGAAAAUGUUAACAAGUUCCAAGAUUAAUGUGAACUAAUUAAAAAAAAUUACCAAGUCAAGAACUAAAUAUUACUUUAUCCCAUAUUAAAAUGGUUAAAAUAUGUCAUAGGUCAUAGUAGUGUAUUCUUCACGAAUUUAAAAUUAAGUCACUGUACUUUUAUUUUUAAGAACUUACAGCAUGUUUGGUUGGGUGUAUUGGCAUAGCCAAUACACCCCUAAUCGUGGGCCCCACUUAUUACGCCUCUAAUCCUUUGUUUGGUUCAAUGUAUUGCUAUUACGGGGCUAAACCAUUACUGACCUAAUCGGUGAAAUCCACCGAUUUCUAAUCCCUGUCUUUAGCUCAGUUUAGGUGCUGCUUCAAGUUUUAUACCCUGUUUACCCUCCCAAUCGACAGAUCCCUUUUUCGCCUUCUGUUCCUUCCUUCUAGCUUGGGGUUUCUGCCUAUUUGCUCCCUCUGUCCCUCUGCCUAUAAUACUCUCCAGCAAUAUACACACCGACGCACAAGGAAAGCACUAUUGGUAAGCCUUUAUUUCUCCUACCCUGAACUUUUCUCCAGAAACAAUCACUCUUAUCAUGUUUUUCGUUUCCUUCAUGUAAAGCAGUUGCUAUACUUUGCUGGGUCUUUUUUUUUUUUUGGUUUUCGUCAGUGAUGGGAUGUUCUAGUUCGAAGUUAGAGGAUCAAAAGGCCCUCCAAGGAAUAUUUUUGAGGUGAUUAGAGAGAUACAGGUUCAGUUUGUUAAAGCUUUUGAGUCAGGGAGUGAAAUUGUAAAGUUGCUUGCGGUGGGAACACUUCCCUAUCACCGAAAACAUGGUAAUGAUUUUCAUCAUUAUUUUACUGGAUUGUUGUGUUAUUUUACCUAUUUGCUCUAAUAGUAAUACUAGCUGCGGGGUUUGGUAACUUUUCUGCAACAGCUUCGAAGAUGUUGCAAGUAGUUACUCAUUCGUUAUCAUUAGUAUCAUCUCAUCCAUCUACUUCUAAGACUGAUUCAUCGGCUAAAAAUACUGAUCCGGCUUUUCUAGACUUCAAUGAAGAAUUGGCCAAGAAACAGAGAAACAUUUCCUCUACAUUGCAGAAGUUGUAUCUUUGGGAAAAGAAACUCUAUUAUUUUGCUUUUUUUGUAUAUUUUAUUUGUUAAUUUGAAGCCUUUAUGUUUCUCUUCAGUUCCUGGAAGAGUUUGAGUGGCUGUGAGAUUACGUCCACAUAAUGUAGAAGAGUUAGUAGCAGAUGCUGAUUUUGCUGAUUGUGUAGAACUUCAACCAGAGGUAUUAUGUUGCUAUCUGACAGUUGGAUAUGCAGGGAAUACAAUUCUCAGUGACCUUAAUUUUUUUAGAUGUCUUUAUCUACUUUCUUUUAUCUGUUUGAUCUUGAAGUACAAAUGAUUGAGGAAAAGCUAAGAGAAGGGCAUAUCGAUUAUAUUUUGUCAGGGUUGGCAUCUUGAGGGAUGCAUCAGCCUAAAAGUGAGUUUAUUCAAAUGAAAAUGGAGAAAAGUAGCAAAUUCUUGAAUAAUUAUCACUUCAUUUCAAUUAGUCAAGAAGGAUUUAGUUUCUAACCACCUAAGAAAAAGUGAAGUCGACAUGCCUGUACUUGUUCACGUAGCUCACCUAACUAGCUUUUAGAUUUAUUGAAAUUAACUCCCAUCCAGUUUCUGUAAGUGUUUAUUACUUGAUUUUGGUAAAGUUCUCACCAAUGCUUCAACUUUUCUCUUUCAGCUUAAAAGGUUAAAGCUUCGCAAAAACAACUGGGACACAGACACCUAUGAGUUUGAUGAAGCGCUGACAAAGUUUGCAUCGUAAAAACGUGUGUAUGAAGUUGUUGCAAAGCCAGUUGUUGAGGUUUGAGUACAGGGCUUUUCUAAUUGUACCAGAAUUUGUUAGAAUUUUACUUGUUAUUAGUUAUUCUUCCUUGGCAACAGCAGAGGCGGUGGCUGAAAAUAGUUUCAACCUAUCAUUGUGUUUUGUGUCGGUCUUCUCCCAAGUUAUCAAUUGUUUUGUUCUGCUGUACAUAACUGCUGUGUUUGGUCAUAGCUUAUAAAGGAUUUGGUGCCUUUUUUGAUGCAUUAUUCAUUUUAUUAACAAGGUCAUUGUGUAUUUGUGUUCAUAGGGUGUUUUGGAUGGUUACAAUGGGACAAUCAUGGCUUAUGGUCAGACUGGUACUGGCAAAACAUAUACUCUUGGUCGACUUGGGGAGGAAGAUACAGCUAAUCGUGGAACAAUGGUCCGUGCUAUGGAGGACAUUUUGGCAGAAGUUUCACCAGAAAUUGAUUCUGUUUUGGUCUCCUAUUUGCAGGUUGCAUAUUAGAUAUUCUUUUCUAGGAGAUACAUAUUACUGCAGAUCUUGGUGUUUGAUUUCUGAUAUUGUCAUGAAUUGUGCUAAUUGGUCUAAGCUUACUUUUCUUUUAGAAUUUUUUUUUUAUCAUUUUCUCCAAAGUUACAAGAAUUUUAAAUUUUAAUGUGCCUAAUAGCUCUGUUCAUUGAAAAUUUUAAAUUUUCUCCAAAGUUUCUGCAUUCUUCCUGAAUGGGCCAUGUGCUAUAUUUUUGCAUUCUACUUUGUAUGCUUUAAUUAAUGCAGAUGAUUAGGCUUUGUAAUUUAGAUAUCACAAGGUUUGAUUAGAUUAAUGAAUUACUGCUAGGAGAACAACUAGUGCUGGAAAAAGAGAAGCAGCACUCUGUUCUGAACUAGAUCACAUAAACCUAAGACAUGAUUGUUCAUUUUCUCAUUUUCCUUGUCCUUAUUCUUGCUCUACAUUUCUUGUCUUUCCAGUUUAAUGUUGUCCUGCAUUGUUGCUAUUUUCUGCACUAAUAAUUGAUGGUUAUAUGUUUGUGAUUUUAGGUAUUGGUAAGACGUUCACGAUGCAACCAUUACCUCUCAGAGCUGCACAAGACCUUGUUAGAUUCUUGCAUCAGCCAAUUUACCGCAACCAGAGAUUUAAAUUGUGGCUUAGCUAUUUUGAGAUAUAUGGUGGCUUAGCUAUUUUGCUUGCUUACUUUCUGAGGCUGUCAAAGAACAAGCACUUGGCUGGUGAUUUCUUCAGCCUUGCUGACCUGAGCCACCUACCAUUUACGCAGUACUUGGUGGGUCAAAUGGGAAAGGAAUACAUGACAACCAACAGUAAGCAUGUGAGUGCUUGGUGGGAUGACAUUAGCAGCAGACCGUCCUGGCAGAAGGUUCUCCAGCUCUAUGCUCCUCCUUUCUAAGAAUUGAAAAUGAUGCAAUCUGGGGAUGGGGUCUUUUUAAUGAUGUCUGCUUUGUUGUUUAGCAGUUUGGUUUGGUUUGGGGUCUGGUCUUUGACUGUUUUAAGAGGCCAACUAGUUAUCCUAUGUUAGGUAUAGUUACAAUAAAAUGUUGGUAGGGGUAGGGGGUUACAGUUAUCGUUUUGUUUGCCUAUGUUUGAUAUUAUGAAUAAAGAUGAAGAAAUCAUGUAGAUAUCAAAGAGAAUCAAGUGCUCAAUUGAAUGUGCUUCAAAGGCAAUUUUUUUUUUUAUUUUCUAUGGUUUUAUUACUUAUUGAUUUUCUUUUUGUUGGUUUAAAUCUUCGAAAUAAUUGUCCAAAAGGUUUUGGUAGUGUUGGCAUUGGCAUUAAUAAAAGUUUGAGCUUACUAUGAGUAUAAUUUGAACCCAAAUGUGGUAGUGUUGGCAUUGGCAUUAAUAAAAAUUUGAGCUUACUAUGAAUCUAAUUUGAACUCAAAUCAUAUUUGAGGUGAUAAAUACUUUAUCCAUCAAGUUAAUAUAGGGUUCAAGUUAAUUAUGGUGUUUAUUUAUUGUUAAUAAUUUAUACAAACUUAUGAUUAUAAGUAGUGUAAAAAAGGUAAAUUAUUUACUAUGAUAUCAAACAAGUGAAGUGGCUUAAUAUAAGUUAAUAAUGUUUAUGCAGAAUAUAAUUCUCAAAUUAUAUUAUGAUUUUAGUAAAUUAUAUAAGAAUAUUUAUUAUUAAGAAUUUAUGAAAUUAUAUAUCAUUAUUAAAUUAUAUUUAAUAUUAAUUAUUUUAAAUUAUAUAAAUUCAUAUAAGAAAAUUUAUUAUCAAGAAUUUUAUGAAAUUAUAUAUUAUUAUUAAAUUAUAUUUAAUUAAAAUAUAACUUUUUCUUAGUAUAAGUUAAUUAUGUUUAUGCAGAAUAUAAUUUUCAAGUUAUAUAUUUAAUAAUAAUUAUGUUAAUUUAUAUUUUAUAGUAUCAUAUAUUAUGAUUUGAGUAAAUUAAUAUAAGAGUAUUAAUUAUUAAGAAUUUUAUUAAAUUAUAUAGUUUAAUUAAAAUAUAUUUAAUAAUAAUUAUGUUAAUUUAUAUUUUACAGUAUCAUAUAUUAUGAUUUCAGUAAAUUAAUAUAAGAAUAUUAAUUAUUAAGAAUUUCAUUAAAUUAUAUAUUUUAAUUAAAAUAUAUUUAAUAAUAAUUAUGUUAAUUUAUAUUUUACAGUAUCAUAUAUUAUGAUUUCAGUAAAUUAAUAUAAGAAUAUUAAUUAUUAAGAAUUUUAUUAAAUUAUAUAUUUUAAUUAAAAUAUAUUUAAUAAUAAUUAUGUUAAUUUAUAUUUUACAGUAUCAUAUAUUAUGAUUUCAGUAAAUUAAUAUAAGAAUAUUAAUUAUUAAGAAUUUUAUUAAAUUAUAUAUUUUAAUAAAAAUAUAUUUAAUAAUAAUUAUGUUUAAAUAUGAUUAAAUUAUUUAUUAUUGAUAAUAAUAAUCUUAUUAUAAUUUAAAUAACAAUAACAAUAAUCAUUUACCAAAACAAAUUUAUGCUAAGGGUAUUCUAGUCAUUUUAGUUUUUUCCAUUAUGCUAUUACACCUCUAUUCCAUUCAACCAAACACAAGAUUACUAUUACGCCUCUAUUCCAUUACAUUCAACCAAACAGUGGAUUAGCUAUUACACCUCUAAUCCAAUACACCUCUAAUCCCAAUACACCUCUAAUCCAAUAUAUCUCUAAUCCAAUACAGCGAACCAAACGCACCCUUAGUUCCUCUAAUUUUUAGAUUUUAAAAUUCAGGUCUAAUUGUUAAAUUUAUAAAAAAAAUAUAAGGAGUUAUGGGCAUAUUAUAACCUAUUGAAAUCAUCUACCAAAAUUAGCUGCUUCAUAAUAAUAAUACAUUCAUGGUGUAAGUGAAAAUAAAAUUAUGUGAUUUAUAAAAAAUAUAAAAGAUCAAAAACAUCCUUAAAAUAGUACAAUUCAAUUUGUAAAGUGAGAGUAUUUUUAUCUUCUUAAUUGAGUUGGUACAUAAUUAACCCGUAACACCAACUUAAUUAGGAGUUUUAUAAUAAGUACAGAUAGAUAAUAUCUGUAUCGGUUAUCUGUAAGUGUAAUAAAUUUUAUUUGAAUUGGAUUGAUUUAUAAUGAAUGUUUUGUAUAAUUCAUAUUAGCUUAAUUCAAUUAGAAAAGGAAUGACAUAACAUCAAAUUUAGCUCUCAAAAUAUUUAUAUUUUUUUUGUCAAAUUAAAUUAAAUUUGGACUUCAACCUUUUAAAAAAAGUCAAAUUUAAUAGAGAAUCUUUCAAAAAAGAGUAAAAAUAUUUUUUUUAAUUAAAAAACUGACUACCUAUAAGGCGAUUCGCAUGUACUCUAUGCUAUUUUUUAAAUUUUUUAAUUUUUUGAAUAUUUUUAUAAGCUUUAAACUAUUUAUUCACGUAGUAUAUAAGAUAAAUAUUGUCAUGUCAAUAUAAAGCAUAUGCAAACUACUAUGCGGGUUGCCAUGCCAACAUCAUUAAAAAAUUAAUAUUGUUGAUACAAUGGAUCAACAAGGGAGGAGACAAUGAGAAGAAGGUGAUGGGAGUUUAGAACGAUUCACCCUUGUAGAGUGGAGAAUGGUCAAUGGUAAAAAUGAGGAGAGAAAAUACGGAAAAAAAAAAUGGCCUUGGUGGCCGUAAAAUAGAAUAGAAGAAGAACCCCAAAAUAAGACCCAUCAUCUUACCCUAAUCCCAAUAAGGGUAGAUAUAUGGGUUAUUGGUGGAAUUUACAUUGCGAUCAAAAUGUUCAUAAUUUCGUAUGUAUUUCUGUUAAAAAUAGAGAUUUGAUUUUUUUUAAAGAUUAAUAAUUAAAUUUAAUUUAAAAAAUAAGAAUCAAAUUGAUAGAAAAUAUACAUAUGGCAUUAUACCAAAAAGAAUAAAUUAAAUUUUUAAAUAAAAAAAUUUAAAAGAAAAUAGUUUUAUUUUGAACCUGUCGGUCCGACCAAUUAAGUGAGUGUAGGAAGGGGGUUUGGUGGCAACAUCACAUGCAAAAAGCAAAAAAACUAAGUUGAAGAACUUAAUUUGAUCACAUUCAAAAUCUCUACAUACGAUUUGGGGGAUUUGUUGUUCAACAACAAAGCUAUGAUUUAUUUGUGACGUGUUCCAUUUCUUCACAUUUCACACCUUCCUUUGGAUUUCAUUAUAUUUAUUGCUUUCAUCUACACACCUCUUCCUCCUAACUGUUUUCUACCUUUGCCCUAUUUUUAUACAUUAUUUCUCUCUUUUUCCAUGCAUUUUUAACCUACUUUUGCCAUUUCCACAAUAUAUAAUUAUAGUCAAUCAUGUUUUAUCUUAAUUAUUAUAAGAAACGUUGAUAUUAACUGUAGAACGAUCGCAAAGUAAUAAGAACACACAAAUACGUAAAAAUCCUUUCGAGAAAAAAAUCAUAGGUGGAGGAAAAGAAAUUUAUUAAUGUUCAAAAACGAAUGAUAUAAGAGGGGUUUCGAUUACAUCUAUUUAAGAGUUGAAAAUCCCUUUUCUAAUCAAAGUCAAAUAGUAGAAGUAUAGUUCUAUACGGACUCAACUUGUGUAGCCUCUAGCCCCACAAAUCCUUUAUUUUGUAACAAGUGAUGAGAUUCGAGUCACACAAUCUCUAACAUUAAUAAUUUAUUAGAGUUUUAAUUUUGAAAUUCAAAUUGAUGUAAUUUCAUGUUAAAUUUACUACUUUUAACUUAAUUCAUUGCUUUACUUAGGGACUCAGCUAUAAAAUUUUGGUGUUCAAAGUUAAAAAAGAUUUGUAUAAUUUUUCGAAGGAAGCUAAAAUUGAAUAUUUUAAUUUUUAUGAGGUAUUUAAAAUAAUAAUAAUAAUUGUUGUUUGGUCAAAGCCCCUGGUGACACCCUUGGUUUUAACAUCAGAUGUAAUAAUUUCGACAAUUAGCCAUUGGUGUAAUGAAAAUGAACAUGUUAUAUCUUUGUUGACUUGAGGUUCUGGGUUCAUACAUGAAAACCCCAUCACUUAUCUCUUAUAAAAGAAAUGUAAUAAUUUGAUUUUAUGAUCUUAAUUCCCUUUAUUUAGUAUAAUUUCAACAUAAAAACCUUAUUUUUAUAUUUGUAUUUAUUCCCAAUUUGUCCUAAUAAAAUUGUUAUAUAUUAUUACAAAAAUUAAGUGGAUAAUCAAGUAUCUUUGUUCUUUAAUUACACUUACAUAGAUUUCAAAUGUUUAUUGAAUUCUUUAAUCAUAUGAUCAGAGAUUCGAUCUUUAUCUCGUGGGAAUGGAGCAUAUUUCAUAGCAAACCUUUAUGUGAUCGAAAGGUUUGAUUCCUGCUCAUAGAAAUAGAGCAUUUACUUCUUUGAAAAAUAUUUACAAUAAAAAAAUUAAUCACUUAUAUUAAUGAUAAAUACCCUGAUUAUAAUAAGAAAUUAAAAUGAAUAUUUUUAUUACAAGACCAAUCGCUUUCACUUUGAUAGGAACAAAUUCUUAAAAACCUCGAUUUUUUAAUAAAAUUAAAAAAAAAUAAAAAAGAAAAGGAUUGAAAAACUUUUUGACUUUAAAGUUUACACAUUUGUAUCGAACGUAAUGAAAGUGUAAAAAAAUUGAACGGAGUUUAGUCCACUACCAACGUACGGCUAAUGCACGGCGUAAUACUUGGCCCGAUGAAUGCGGUUUGUGGGUCCCACUUCUCUCCAUUUUGGUCUCUCUUUUUUCUGCCCUUUGAAAUUUGCCGUUUUUGUUUGUAGAAUCAAUUAUUUUGAAAAUAAUCCCCAAAUUAACGUCUGAAUGUAUAAUAAGUCUAAUAUUUUCCAAAUGCAUGCAUGCAUUAGCUGUUUUUAUUUGACCAUUUUCCACUUGUUUUUGUCCCCUAUUUUUCUAUAUUUUUUUCCUAUUUUUAUUUAAGCAUUAACUUUAUCUAAACAUAAUUAAAUAAUAAUUAUAAAUAAAGAUUAAAAUUUUAAACCCGACCCAAAAUCCUAAAUUCAAGAGUAAUUAAUAUUUAUUUAUAAUAGUUACGGUUAAUGUUUAAUUAUGUUUAAAUAAAAUUACUAGCAUUUAUUUACAAGUCCAUUUUUUUGUUUAAUUUAAUAAUGAUGUGUCGUAUUAUUAUUCACUAAUGGUGCAUGAGACUUAUACACUGAUGGCACACCAAAUAUUUUACUAUACUCCUACAGGAUACUUAUCAGCUCAUUGCUUGUGGAAUUUAAAAACCUACUGAUAAUGUAUCAAAUAUUUUCCCUAAACCUUUACCGAAUAAUAUCCAAAAACUCAUAAAAUAAAAUCUAUUUUUGUAAAAAUAAGCACAAAAAAAUCAAAAUCUAGAUUUAAUAUAAAAAAUCAAAUCAAAUUAUCAUAAAAGAUUAAAAAAUAUAAAAAAAUCCUUAUUUUCAAUAAAUAAAGUUAUUUAAAAAAAUCAAUUUAUAGAGAAAUUUGUGGGUAGAUAAUCCCUUGAUUAGAGCUAUUGUAAUUAGUGAUCUUAAUUAGAGCUAUCUAAAAAAAAGUUAUUAUACUAUUUGGUACUUAUGUUUAGUGUUAAUGUUCAAUUUGGUAUCUUAGUUUUCUUUUUCUAAUAUGGUACUUAAGUUUGGCUUUAAUGUUUAAUUUCAUACCCACGCCAAUAGACAUAGAUACUUAAUUCGAACAAAAAAAUUUCAGGUAUUGAAUUCAAUAUUGAAGUUAAACUCAUUUAUUUAACUAACACAAAAAAAAAGUAUUGAAUUGAAAAAACUCAUGUACCAAAGUGAACAUUGAAGAUAAACUCAAGUAUCAAAUUGAGAAUUUAAAACAAUCUUAUUAUAAGUUCUGCUCAUAUUUGCUCUUUUUGACACAAUAUCUAAAAUUAGGCAUAGCCCCACCUCAACCCAUAAGUAGGAGGAUAACAAGCUUUAGCGCACUUAAACCCAUGUCUUUCUACAUUAACAACAAUUCUCAAAUCAAUUGAGUUAAAGCUCGAUCAUCAAUACGAAACGUGAAAUAAUAUAUGAACUUAAAAAGAAUAAUAGCAUAAUUAGAAGCAAAUCUAUCCGUACAAUUGUUGACCCCACUUUUCCCUCCAUUUCAAGCUUGGAAAGAAGGAACAUGGAAUAAAUAAACAAAAGAAAGGUAGCAAGUAGGCAAAGAAGUGUUCUACAAUUGAUGGCACAACUUGUAGCUAAAGCAAAGCAAUUUUCAUAUAGCCCCAAAGUUCAUAAUUCCACUCUACACCCCUUGCCUUUUCAUCAAAUCGCUCACUUUUUUUGUUAUAAUAAUUGUUAAGAUACAAGGAUAAUUAUGUCAUUGAAAAAUAUAUUGUAAGAUAAAUCGCAAUAUAAGAAUAACAAAUAAGUUGUCAACGAGGUACUAGUUCAGUUCGUACCGAGGAUGUUGAAGACUCUUGAAAUAAAGGUGAUUUCAAAAAUAAAUUUAGGGGUCUAAAAUUGAAUUAUAAAUUAUUAAGAUGUCAAAUAUAGAUUUUAUUAUGUAUUAAUUUAUUAUUUUAUCUUUUUGAAGAGAUUAUAUAGAAUAUUUUUUAUUUUUGGGAGACCAAACCAUAAUUUUCCCAUAUAUUAAUUUAUAAUUUGAUCAUUCAUAAAGGGGCUAGAAUUGCCUACCCCCUUGUAUGUGCCCUUGCUUGAAAGAUGCGGAUUAGGGUGAAAUAUCUCUAUUAAUAUUGAAUUUUUUAUCGAGUUUAGUGUUACGAGUUAAUCAGAUACCAGUUUAAUUAGAUAAUAACAAAAAUAUCCUUAUUUUACAAUGUAAAUUAUAUCUCUACUAACAUUAAACUUUUUCUAGAGUUUGGUGUCAUGAGUCAAUUAGGCAUUAAUUUAGUUGGAAAAUGACAAAAAUACCCUUACUUUGCAAAGUAAAAUAUAUUAUUUUGAGGGUAUUUUUAUCAUUUUAUAUCUUUUAUAUAGAAAAAUAAAAAUAUAAACAUGUGAUAGGGUUCCAACACAAAUCUAUAGGGUUCCAACCCAAAUCUAUAGUUUUUAACAUUUGUAGUUUACCAUUUAUAACAAUUUUUUAUAGAUAUAUUAUUAUAUAAUCCUAUUUUUCACUUAUAUUGUUGGUGUGCUAUAAUCAAAGAAUUUAAAGGUAGUUUUAAAAAUGUGUAGAAGGAAUAAUAUUUGGUAUAUUGUCAGUGAAAUUUUUAGACUCCACAAAUAGAAUUAGGGAGUUAACAAGUGUCUUAUAAGAAUAUAGUAAAAUAUUAAAAACAUAUAUUUAAAAAAAGAAGAAGAAAAAACACAUGAUAAUUUUUUAAGCCUACUAUGAAAUAAAAAAUGUACAUUUUAUCAGUAAAUGUUGGGUGCAAUGGUAAGUCACAUUGUAUUCCCAAGAAGAGAUACAUGUUUAAACCUUAGAGAUGACAUUGUUAGAAGGGACAGCUAUGAACCCCGAACAUGAACAGUAAAACGGAUAUAAAAAAUGAGAUUAUAAUUAAAUGGAAAAAGAAUUGAAAUUAAAUGGGUUACCGCCAAGAUGAAACUUGAAAGAGUAAAAGAAAAAAAAAAAAGGGAACUCCAUUGCUGUAAUUUGCCGUAAUUAACUAGAGACCAAAAUUGCACUAAUUAAGGAGAUAAAAUGAUAAUCUUUGGAUCUGCAAAAAUUUUCAACUUUUUUGACAGUGUUCAUAUCUUCCCUUUUUUUUUCUCUCUCUUCCACUCCAUAAAUAGCAGUUCACACUCCACCCUUAACCCAUUCAAACCUCCACUCAUCCUUUAGCUGUUUCCCUCUGUUUCUUUAGUCAAAGUAUACAAUAUGGCAAUUUGGGUUGAUACUUGCUUGGUUUCAUUGCUUUUCAUCAUUGUUGCUGUUGAAGCUAGAAUUCCUGGUGUUUAUUCUGAUGGUGCUUGGCAAAGUGCCCAUGCCACUUUCUAUGGUGGCAGCGAUGCUUCUGGCACAAUGGGUACUUUUUUAUUUCUCAAAACGAAGAUGAUUUUGACUUCACAAUCUGACCUUUUUUUUAAUGAUUUUUUAGGUGGAGCUUGUGGCUAUGGAAACUUAUACAGCCAAGGCUAUGGUGUCAACACAGCUGCUUUGAGUACUGCUCUUUUCAACAAUGGGUUCAGCUGUGGUGCCUGUUUUGAAAUCAAAUGUGUAAAUCAACCACAAUGGUGUCAUUCUGGUAGUCCUUCAAUUUUCAUCACAGCAACCAAUUUUUGCCCUCCAAAUUACGCUCUUCCAAAUGACAAUGGCGGAUGGUGUAACCCUCCUCGUCCUCAUUUUGAUCUCGCCAUGCCAAUAUUCCUUAAGAUUGCUGAGUACCGUGCUGGCAUUGUCCCUGUCUCUUAUCGCAGGUAAACAAACAAAAAGUCUUCCUUCCCCUUUUUUUUUCCCGAGAAACAAACAGAUAUAAUUACAUUUUUUCUUUUUCUUUUUUGUUAUUCUACAGGGUUGCAUGCCGUAAGAGAGGUGGAAUCAGGUUCGCAAUCAACGGUUUCCGUUACUUCAACUUGGUUCUUAUUACCAACGUGGCAGGCUCUGGUGAUAUCGUGAAGGCAAGCGUUAAAGGAUCGAAAACAGGGUGGAUGAGCUUGAGCCGAAACUGGGGCCAAAACUGGCAAUCCAAUGCCGUAUUGGUCGGCCAAUCUUUGUCUUUUAGGGUCACCGGCAGUGACCGUAGGACUUCUACUUCAUGGAACAUUGCUCCUUCCAAUUGGCAGUUUGGUCAAACCUUCACAGGAAAAAAUUUCAGGGUCUAAAAUAUGAAGGGGUGGGAGAGUAGUUGGGUUACUUUCCUGGGAAAAUGAGGGAAAGUGUGUGGUUAACAUUGUUUUGACAGUGGGGAAAAUUGGGUUUUUACUUGUUUAUCUAAUGGGGCUAUUUACUUUUAGGUUUUACUUUUUUUAUCUUUGGGGUGAAAAGGUGAGAGAGGAUAAAGGUUAAAAAAAGUGGAAUGAAAUGGGGGCUGAAGUGGCUUGGAAAGAAGUUGUAGCCCGCAGCUUUAAUACUUUUUCUUUUUCUAUAUGUUACAUAAGUUGAAUUUAAUGAAAGGAUGGUCUUAAUUUACUAAUUGUUUCUUGUGUACUUGCUUUUACCUUAAUUUUACGUACAGAUUAAGAUUAAUGUUUUCGGAAUUUAUUGUCAAUUCUUAUCUGCUUGAAUGAUAAGUAAAAUUUUGACUUAUAAUUUUGUUGAGGUUGAAAUUAGUACUAAUUUUUUACUCCUAUUUAAAAGUAUAUCUCUAAUCUAAACUCAAUAUAAAUUGAAGAAGGUUAAAAAAGUAAUCAAAAUUAAUCUAAAAUAAUAUUUUAUUAAGAGAAAAAAAAAGUGAGAUUGGUAAUGAUACAAAGGUUUCUUCAUUGUAAUCUGCUAUAGCCGAAAGAGGGUUAUUGGAUUCCUAAUGUAACAUGCAAUAUUUGAAUGUCUUUUUCUUGACUACCUAAGGCUAAGAUCAAGAAUUAGGAGAGCAUUGGUCUCUAUUUCCAUUUCACUUUUGUUCUGGUUUUUUUUUUUUUGACUUGAUAACAUGUACCAAAGUCUUAUCUCAAGCUGUUUUUUUUGUCUCAUCUUCUUUCUUUAAAAUUUAACAUUUAACGACAAAAUAAUUACAAAAAGUGCUCAUGGUCACUGAUAGCAAAUUUACUUUGCUGCAACCCUUUUUAACACUCCCAAUUCUCCAAUUCAACGACCUUAAUUGGAGUACAUUCAGUUUAUAAUUUGAUUGGUAUGUGUAUUGUUUUCUAAUUUAGGAGGAUGUGGAUUCGAGUGAGCUGAAGCGUAUUAUCUUUUUAUUUAUAGAUUGAGAAUGGGCUAUGGUUAGUUCUAUAUAUUAUGUCAAAAAGAACAGAUAUGAUCAGAGCCUAAUUUGAUUUAGUAAGGUAGCUAUUUGGUGUAAAAAGAAUAGUGGCAAUAAUAUUAUAUUAUUUGGAUAGAUAAAUAUAAAAAAUGGAUAAGUAUAAAAUUGUAAUGGCUUAAAUUCAAUGUUAUCGGAACAGUGGUUUCGUAACCACAAAUUUGAUUUAAAGAGAAAUUUAUUUCAAUAUUUUUGCUUAAAAAUUUAUAUGAUAGGAAAAUCGUAUGAAAAUAUUGAUAGGAAAAUUUUAUCAAUUUAGUGAUUAGUUAGAAAAAGAAAUUAUUGAAGAAAUUGGGUAAAAUAAGGUAUCGGGACCUCUAUCUCGUAAAACUGAGUCAAAAAUAAUUUUAUAAAUAUUUAUGAAAUGUUAUUAAUGUGGUAUUAAAAUUUCGUUAGGAAAUUUUAAUGUUUGGGUAGUCAAUUAAAUGAAAAGGACUGAAUUGUAAUAGGUGUAAAAGUUGCUAGAGUGAUUAAAUAGCUUAUUAGUCUAAUGAGAAAGGAUAUAAAAGGCAAUUAGACCCAAAAUUUAUUUGGGAUGGACGGCAAGGGUAUGAAAUCAGCAGAAAAAUUGAUAAAUUAAGGGUAAAAUUGGAAUAUUGCAAAAUUAACUAAAUAAAACUAGGACUAAAUAGGAAAUAUCUAGAUUUUUCUUCAUUUCUCUUCAAUUCCAGCAGCUAAAAAUGCCAUAGGAGGGUUCUCUAAGCUGGUAUUUCAUAAUUUUUGCACCAAGUGAGUUAAUCCUUGCCUUUUUCUUGUAAUUUUUGUGUUUCUAAGACUUUUACAACUAGAUCCUACUAUUAAAUUCAUUAGUUUUUGAUUUCAUGGAUGAAAUUUAAAGUCACAAUGGUUGAGUUCUGUAAGUUUAUGAUGAAAUAGAAUGAAAUUAAAGCUUUAAUUUGUUUAUGAGAUGAUUUUAUUAGGCAAUUUCAAUGGAAAUUGAUUUUUGGGACCUAAUUGUGAAAAUGUUUGGAAUUAAAGUCUAUUGCUGAAAUUCUGAUUUCUAAAGGUUGUAAAAUAGUUUAAGGUGAUAGAAUAAAAUGUUAAUUGAGAAAAAUCAGCUCAAUUGAGAGGCUAAUUGAGUAGGGAUGAAAUUAUCAUUUAUUAAAAGUUUAGGGGAAAAAUGGUAAUAAACAGCUUGAACUAAAACAGUUUGGACAGCAGCAGUAGACUAACUUUGAAAAAUCACCAAAAAUUGUAGGAAUCGAAUUAGAAGAUGAACAAAAUAUAGAAUUAAAGCUUAUUGAGUCUAGUUUCUCAUAGAAGAAAUAUUGUAAGCAAUGGAUUUGUAAAUUUUGAGAUAUAAUGAAUUUUGUGAGACAAGGUCAGAAUGAAUUCGGGUUCCCCUGUUCUAACUUUGAAAAAUUAUAAAAAAUUGAAUAAAAAUAAUUAGGGACUUAAAUUUAUAUGUCUAGAAUUCUGAAUGAGUCUAUUUUUAAUAGAAACAAACAAGAACAUCAUUUGAAUUCUGUAUAAAGAGAUAAUUUAUUUUUAGUGAAGAAGGGUCAGAACUGUUAGACAACAGAACAGGGGUGACUUUGAAGAAUAAAAUGUACUGAUUGGCUAAACCAAAAAUUAUGAAAAUUUUAUGGUAAAAAUAUAUAUGAGUCUAGUUUCAGGAAAAAUUAACGGAUCUUAAUUUGGAGUUCCGUAGCUCAAGUUAUAAAUAAUUUAGUGACUAUGACUCAAGUAGACAGCUUUGAAUGAACUAUAAAUAAUAGUUGAAUUAUAGAGAAUGUUGCAUAUGAACAUGAAAUGUAUUAAAUUGAUAACUAAAUUUAUUUAUUUAGAUCCAGAAGAUUCAAAUACGAAGCUAGAUCGAGGAAAGGAAAAAGUUCGGGAUUAAUAGAUUUUUACUGUUUACAAACAAGUAUCAAGGUAAGUUCAUGUAACUUGAAUUAUAUUCUUAAAUGCUUGAAAUGCAUGUUUUUGAUAUGAAUAUGAUUUGAAUGUUCAUUGUAUGAAAAUUUAUGAAACAUUGAUAUAUUUGAUAAAAUGGGAAGAAAUCCCGUUUGAAUGAAAGGAAAAUUCGAUGGAUCUCUGAAAAGGAAUUGACGGUAAAAAGGAUCUAGCCCGGACGGGUGAUCCUAUCCUGAUAUAGCCCUCCCGAAGAAUAUGUGUAAAAUGGAUUUAGCCCGGACGGGUAAUCCGAAUUAGGGUCUGAAUUUAGCCUGGACUGGUAAUUCAGAUCCAAGCUCAUUAGAGUAAUUGUCGUUGCAGGGGAUUUAGCCUGGACUAGUAAUCCCGACAAUACUCUAUGAGUUUAUAUUGCAAGGGAUUUAGCCUGGACUGGUAAUCCCGCUGCAAGGUUGAGGUUCGCGGGAGUGUGCUCUCUGAAAUGGAAAUGUGCGCACAUGAAUAUGAAUUGACGGACCCGGAAUUGUACACUAAAAGUGUAACUCUGAAAAUCCAUCGAAAUUCUGAUAAAUUCAACGGGAUAAAUAUGAAAAAUAAUAAGGGAAUGAAAAUCAUGGUAUUGAUGAGUACAUCAAUCAUGGUAUAUAUAUAUUAUUGAUACAUGGAAAUUAUUGUACUAACUUGAAUGUUGAGUUUGUGCAUGUUAGGGUAAUAAUGCAUUGAAUGGAUAUAUGAAUGUUUAUUAUAUUGUAUUGAAAAUAUUAGGUAAGUAUAAUUCUUGUUACAUGAGCUUACUAAGCACAAAGUGCUUACCCCGUUACCUUUUUCCCUGUUUUGUAGUGUUAAGAGCUUGAAGGUCGGAUUUGGUCGGAGACACAUCACAUUGUCAACCUCAGGAUUUCGGUAUAUAAAGAAACUUUAUUUUGGAAAUCAAUGGCAUGUAUAAGCUAACAAAGUAAAUGUUAACGUGAAAUGAAUGUAAAGUUAGCCAUUAGUAUGGUUAACAAACCUGGUUAUAGAUAUGUGAUAACGUUAUCUUAUAUAAAUGCAUGAAUCUAUCAUGAAAAUAUGUUGAAUUGAAAAAAAAAAUUAAUUCGUAAACUCCGGUAAUGCCUCGUACCCUAUUCCGGCAAUGAAUACGGGUAGGGGUAUUACAAAAAUAAUGUUUUUACUCUUAAAUUAACAUAAAUAAUAUUUUAUGUAUGUUAUUAAUAGAUUAAAUUACACUUAAGGUCACUAAACUAUUAGUAAGUUUAUAUUUUGGUCACGUGACUUCAGAAAGUUAUAAAAUGAUCAUUGAUCUAUUUGAAAGUUUUUAUUUAAGUCACUAGGCUAUUAAGUUUUUUUAAAAUGGUCCGGCUAGUGAGCUUCAAGCGACAAUUUGAUGAUCGGUACAAUGGAUCAAUACCCAAUAACAUACCUUAAAUCCAAGUCGAUCUAACAGUUAAUGUCGGAGACCAGAGAAGAAAACUAUUUGGAUUUUGGUUUGCAAAUUUAUGACAUUCAAAGUUAUUUUUAUGAAAAAAGCUUAAUUGCAUAAGAGAAGGAGAAUAAGAGCUUUUAAUUGGUACAUGUGGUGCAAACAGAAAAAGCCAUACAAUAGUAAUUUUAACAAUCCAAUGACUUAAAUGAAAAUUUUUGAAGAAUUUAAUGACUUUUUUAUAAUUAUUUUUAAAUUAAAUGACUAAAACAUAAACUUACUCAAAUUUUAAUGACCUUAAGUAUAGUUUACCUUCUUUUCUAUUUAUAUGACAUUUACUUUCUAUCACUUUUGCUAGGUGUGUUGACUUGAUCACAUGUAAUGAAGUCUCAUGCUUGAACUAGCUUCUUCUUUUUUUUGUUAAUUUUAAUUUUCUAUUCAAUAAUUUUCAAUUAAUAUUAAUAAAAAAUAUUUAAUUAUAAAAAUAUUUUAAUUAUUAUUAAAUUAAAUUAUAAAUUAUUCAUAUGUUAAACAUAAUGUAUUUUUAAUUUAUAUAUGUUAGUCACAUUGUAAUUACAAAGAAUAGAUCCAAAUAAUUAUAAUCAGAAUUAAUCAUUAUAAAGCACAAUUAGACAAAUAAUAAAAAUAUAUCUAAACCUAAAAUAGAAUAAAUCUUAUAUUUGGACCUAAAUAUAGUGGGACAUAAAUUAGAAUAAAUAUAGACUAAGAAAUCACAUCAAAUUUACACAGAAUAAGACUCGAGCUUGGGAUCCUGAAUUUCUCAAAGCCUUAAUCUUAUCCAUUAAGCUUUACACAGAAUAAGUGGACAUAAUUGAAACCAUAAGGAAACUAAAUGUAUUUUACACUAAAUAUAAGGAAGUAAGUAUCUUUUACCCUACUCUAUAAUUUACCCUUCUUUAUACCCUUUUAUUCAGGUUUAGGUCGAACCUAAUUAUGAUAUUAAUAUACUUUAUGUUUACCUAAGCUUGGCUUAAAAUAUGAGUCUAAAAUUUUGUUCAAGCCCACCAAUAUUAGUAAAAUACUAACCCAAGCCCAUUUUAGACCCACUCAUAUUAUUUUUAAAUAUUUUAAAAAAUAUUUAUAUUAUUUAAUUUAAUAUAUAAUAAUUUUAUAAUUUUAUAAUUAUUGAUUUUUUAUAUAGUCAUUUAAUAUUAUUUUAAUAUUUACAUUAGAGUACUAUUAUAUAUUUAGUACAAGUUUAUUUUUUUUAAUAUGUUAUAAAUUACAUAAUAUAUAAAAAUAACAUAAUAUAAAGUACUAUAAACUUAAAAAUAGGUGAGCUCGAAUUCAGGCCUUGAAUGUUCAAACUCGAGCCCGACUCUUAUUUUAAACAGGCUUAAUUUUUUUUGCCCAAACUUAUUUUUCGAGUCUAAUAUUUUUAUCCAAACACUAUCAAAUUUCGGCCAGGCCUUCGAGCCUGAACGAAUAGCCUUGUCCAUGAACAAGUUUAGUGCCAGGCACGCUUGAGGCGUUAAAACCUUUAUUUAACCUAAGGCGCAAGGUGCAAAAAAAGGUAAUCGUCUGAAUAAACCAACGCAUAAGCAUAUAAAUAUAAAUAUAAAUAUAUAUGUAAAAUGUAUAUAUAAGCAUAUAUAACUAAUAUCUAUAAUUAUUUAGUAAAAAUAUAAAUUUUAAUACAGUUGAGUUUAUAAAUUCAAAAUAUUGGUGAAUAAUUUAAGUCUAAUAAUUUACUUAAUUUAUUGUAUAACAAAACACCAUAAAAACAUAAUGCUCUAAAUUUCCUUCAUCUUCAUCUUCUCUUCAAUCAUAACAAUUUACAUCUCGUUCUGCUUCAAUAUCGUCAUCUUGGUCAAAAGUAGGUUAAUUUGAUGCACUUGACCUCAAUCUCAUUUGCACUCUAGCACAAUGUUCCAACACCGGCGACACUAACAACCAAACCCCAUGUCAAUUCAUCUUCAUCAAAUACUAAGUCAUCCUCGGCAUCAUUUGAAGUGUGUUCACCCAUCUUUCCAAUUAGCUCAUUCAUUACCUUCAUCAAUGUCUUCUAGUGAAAUAAGAUUAUGCAAGGGAUGAUGCAUGAAUGUUGCUGAAUGCUUCCAUGAUUGUUUCCUUCGCUCUAUCCAUGGUCGCCUUGUAUAUAUAUAUCCCAUGGCCGCCUUGUUUUUUCAUUGUCAAUAAGUCAGAGAACUCGAACUAAAGGACUCAGCCUUGAGAGUGAUUACCACACCAUUCCAAGGUGAUGGCAUUAGAAUAGUUUUAGCAACUUGUUUAGCCUUUGGAUCUUUGACACCCAAUUUUGAGAAAUGACCAUGGUUUUGAAAUGCAGAUGCAUUCUAAUGUGAGAUAAGAUGUGCAAAAACGAGUUUUACUCAGACCAGUUCCCUUACUUCGUGAACUCUCUCAUCAUGUUUAGCAUGACUGUGUGGUUAUUAAUAAACUUAUUAGUGAUGGCAACUGCUCUUUCUAAAGUCUUAGAGACUUAAGAAAGCUUGCCAAUAUUUUCUAAAAUGAGAUCAAGACAGUGUGCAUCACAUGGUGUCCAAUAUAGAUGUGAUCUUUUUGCUUGUAGCAAUUUACUUGGAAGUAAUAUCUGCACAAACUUACUAGCCAUGACGAAGUUACUUGCAUUGUCUGUAAUUACUUGGAAGACAUUAGCUUCUCCUACAUUCUUCCCAAAAGAAUCCAACAAUUCAAACAUUUUAUCUCCCAUUUUUUUACAUAUGAUGAACUUAACAAUUGAUCAAAAAUUUAUUAAGCUCCUGCCUUUCUUAUUCGUCUAUCCAUCUGUCAUAAUAAAACACCCAUGCUUCACCUAAACACAUUCUUGAAGCAUCUAGUUUCACGAUAUUAAAUGAAUUUCCUGCUUGGUAGAAAAAAACAAGCAAUAUGUUGACACGCUUCUUAUCUCAUGCAUCUAUAAUGUUUAAUUGCUUUCGAGACUGAAAAGUACUUUCUCUGGCUUUUGAGAGAUGAACGAAUCCAUAGGAGAAUUCUCUUUGUUAAAACAUGGAAGUGGUCACUUGCCCUUAUGAUUUCCUUUUAUCUUCUUCAUCAAUUUCCACAAUAUUGCUAAACUCAUUAAAAUUCAAUAACUUAUCAUAUAUUUUAAAUUUUUUUCUCAUUCUUAUAGGACAAAAGCUCCUUUCUCACAUUUAGUAGAGUCUUCAAGCACGACUUGGCAUUUCUAUGAUUAUUGACUUGAUGUUGUUUGGCUCGGAAUAUGCCACCUUUAGUUGUCUUUAUGACAAAACAUGCAAGUGGUGGUAUUCGGAUCUUUCGAAUUAGCCAAAAAAACAUAUUAAUUGCAGGUGGCUACCUGACACCUCCAAAGGGUAAGAAAUCAAACAAGGAUCCCCUAGAGUAAGUCAACUAGUUCAAAUACCAAAAACACAAUUUGCAAAUAGCAACAGAGCAACUGUAAAAAUAAGGGGUGAAAAGUAUGAUGGGAAUAGGAACAAAGGAAAAAAUAUUGGUAAAUUGGAUAUGGUGUUACUCGACUCGAAAAGGGUUGUACAGGACUCUAGGGUGCUGAACAAUGUGAUUCACACCAAAAGGGUAAUGGGCUCUCUUGAUAUAGGCCUUGCACUUACGACUGGAACUCCAGACUACCCAUUUCAAAUAUUUCAAAGGUGGAUCCAUUAAAAGACAAAAAGUCUUUGUAUUCAGGAUGGUGAAGGCCCUGUAAAAGACGUUGCAUGUCCAGAUAAUGAACUUCUUUCUACUUCUGUGCUCUCUUACUUGCUAAACUAAUUGUUGUUUAAAAGAACAAUGGCAAGGAGAGGAAUGUAAGGCGAUGGCAAUGGGAAUCUCUUUGGAGGAGAGUAAUGAACCUAUGAUGUGGGUAUAGGAACAGAUGGGGGAAAACAACCCAGUGCAAGAUCAGGUAUCCUCAAACAUGAGGGGGGAUCAAAAUAGACUAUUAAGGGGACCCCAAGGAAGCUCAAGGAGGCGGGGAAGAACUGAUGGUAUCUCCCCGUGCUAGUUACAACCAGAGAGAAGUUCAAACGUAUUGUCAAACCUAAGAAGCUGUCCAGUGGAUGCACGAGGCCAUUUGAGACGAUUCUAAUAUUGGUGCCGCCUAUGUGGCCAUCUCCAAUACAACCCUCCGCAUCAUCGUCUCAUGAGAACCAGAUGCCUGGAAUAAUGUGAGGGAGACUCAAUGGUUUAUCGAAAUCCUCCGUUACCAAUGAAGACCAUGAAGUGUUAUUAUAUCCUCAUCAAUUUUUAUAAAAAAAUAUAUCUCAUAUCUUAAAUAUAUUGUUGACUUUUAAUACUUUGCCUUGAGGUUUGGGCAAUGUCGGUGGUUUUAAUGCAAAAGUGACGUUCAUAUAUGCGUCUACACAUUAACUGAAUUAUUAUUACUCAAUGUCUAAAAAAACUGUUAAUUGUGGAAAAAAUGCUUGUGUGAUAUAAAAUUUUUGAGUAAGAGAUACAGAUGAUGUCUAAUUAGUAUUUUAUAUAAUUCUUUCCCUUAACGACAAAGGGUAAAUAUUUGAGGGUAAAAUUUUGCUAUUAGACCCUGUAAUUUGCGUAAAUUAUAGAUUUAAUAUAUGUACUUUAGUUUGGUCAUUUUCAAUCUAUGUGCUUUUAGAAUUUAAAAAUUUUAGUCUUGACAUAAUACCAACUAUUAAAUUCGAUAAGUUUUAUUAUUUUUAAAAUUUACUUAACACUUUUUUGUUCAAGACUUUGUAUUAAUUAAAAAAUUAAUAAGAUUAUCAAACACAUUUUAAAAAACAAUUGAAUAUUGAAAAUUUUCAUUUCAAUAAAAUGAGAAUUUUCAUAAUUUAUCAAACACAUCCUGUUACACGGUACGUCGAUAAUGGCAAUAGAAAUAAUCACAAAGCAAUAAGAAAGGAAAAUAAAAACAUGUCGAUUUUAUGUGAAAAACUCUCAUCUCAUUGGGAAAAACCAUGUGUAGAAGAAGAGAAAUUCAUUAAUGUUGAAACAUAACAAUACAAGAGGUUUGCGACUAUGCGUAGUUUUUAAAGGGUUAAACAACCCGUCUAAAAGACGAAGUAUAGUCCUAUACGGAUUUAAAUUUGUCUCUUUAUUUUAUUUUUUUAACAAGUGAGUCGUACCAUGAACUUUUUAAGCCAGAUUAAACGGGAUCCGAGUCACAGAAUUCUAGCAUAAGUUCUUAAAUUAAAACAUAAAAGUAAAAAUAAAAAUAAAAAUAAAAGAGCCCUUGAAUAUUUUGAUAUAUUGAAACAAGAAGAAUGGAUAGGCUUAAAAGAAAAUUUAUUUCAUUUAUGAUACUUAACAAAAAUAUAUUAAAAAUUUACAAAAGAAAUGAUAAAUAUAUAUAUAUAUAUUUGAAUUAUAUUAAAAGAUAAAAAAACAAAAUGGAGGGGACAAAGAAACCUGGCAGUGGGAGGAUGGCCCCAAUAUCCAGGAGUAUUGUAUACAGUUGGUCUUCUCUGAACCUUUGAAAUUUCUUUCCUAUGAAUGAUUAAAGGCAAAGGUGCCUUUGGAAGGCAAUCAACUUUAAUGCCUUCACUUAUGUUUAUUGAGGUGAGCCACCCUUAUCUUUCCAUUCAACACUACCAAUCAAGAUGUAACCACUUGUUUUUCAUUAUACUGGUUAGAGUAUGUUUAAAUGCAUAUUAUCUUUUAAUUUAAAAGUUUAGAAGGUUAUAAAAAAUUAUAUUAAAAAUAGUUAAAUUUAGUCUUUAGUUUUUAUAUAUUUUGUUAAUUUAAUUCUCUUUUUUUAGUUAAAAUUGACUUUUUACUUUUUAAAAGAGGUUAAAUUUGAUCAUCAACUUUACAAAAUAGAGUCAAAUUAUUAUUUUUUUAAUGGAAAUACUGACUAAAAUAUUAAAAUUUAAACAUUACAAUCCACAUGUAUUUUGUACUAUUUUUUUAUGAAGUUUUAUCUAUUUUUAAAUUUUGAAUUCUAUUUAAUUUUAAAAUUAUUUAUUGACAUAACAUAUAAGACAAAUAAUAAAAUGUCAACAUGAAAUACUUGUGGGCUACCACACGGUUUGCUACGUCAACAUCGUUAAAAAUUAAUGUUUUAAUUAAUAUUUAACAAUUUGAUUCUUUUUGAAAGAUUAAUGACUAAAUUUAAUUUUAAGAAAGAUUAAUGACUAAAUUUAAUUUUAAAAAAGAUUAAAUUAAUUAAAAAUAUAAAUAUUAAAGACUAAAUUUGAUAUUUACAUUAUCCCAAGAAAUCAAAAGGUUUAAGUCAAUUUUGUUUUUCAUUUUGGAAUUUUAAAACAAUUGUAUAUUAAGUCAAUACAAGUGACAAAUUUACAUUACUUUAGUUAAAUUUAUUAAAAAAAGCCAUAAUAAUAAAAUAAAACAAAAACACAUUGACCAUAUAUUUAAUGUUAAUCCCAUUGAUAAAUGAUGAAAUGAUUGUAAUGUCAUAACCAUGUAAAAGAAGGUCAUGUGAACUGAUAGAAGGGCAUCAAUGUUAAAGGUGCUCCCUGCAUGAAAAGAAGUGGUAACCAUCAUGACUUAGUACACACCAAUACCAUAGGUGAGUACUCAAUAACUCCAACCUACUCCACCUCUACAACCCACUGUCACAUAACUUCAUAGAUUAACCUAAACUAAAAUACAUCAUCUAAUUUCAUAAGAAAUGAUAAAAAAAUAAAAGAUAGGAAAAGGGAUAGUGAGAGAGAAGGCAACAAAUAACUUGACACCACCAAAAAGCUUUAGAUUGGUUUUGCUAUCACACUCAACAACAAAAACACCUUUCCUUCCCCCCAAACCCCAAAACCUUAUAGGAAGAAAAAUGGAAGAGAAGGAAAAGAAGAAGAACAAGAAGCAAAAACAUCAACACCCCAAUGAUCAAACAACUAAAUCAUCAGGACCAGCAUCGGAUUUUUCAUUCAAGCCAAGCAAUGAAGUAAAGGGUCUAAGAUUUGGUGGACAGUUCAUUGUAAAAUCAUUCACAAUCAGGCGAGCAAGGCCACUAGAAUUACCCAAACUACUUGAUUUCCCACCGUUGUUGAACAAAAACAAGCAGCUUCCUUUCCCUACCACCACAGCUUUUUUACCUACAAAUUUCACCAUCUUAGCUCACCAUGCUUGGCAUACACUCACCUUAGGUCUCGGAACCAAGAAAUCCAAAGUGGUUCUAUUUGUUUUCGAAUCGGAAGCCAUGAAGUUGGGUGUAGAUAGAGUUUGGCCAUCAGAGAUCCCACUUGGUGAAGUCAACAAGAAGCUGAUAAGAGGGUUAAAAGGGUGUGAAAUGGCGAGGUUUAAGUUCAGGAAAGGGUGUAUUACGUUCUAUGUUUAUGCAGUUAGAGGGAUUGGAACUAUGGGAUUUUCAUGCGCUGACGAUUUGAGGAUUAUUUUGCAAUCAGUUGUGGCACUCAAAGAUUUCUUGGAUCAUACUGCUGUGCUUGCUAUGCCUAAUCAGAGAAGCCUUAAUUACUCCCCUCAACUUGCAAUGGCUCAUUAAUCUUUCAUUUUUCUUCUUUUGAUCUUUGUUUAGUUUUAUUUCUGGGGGGAGAUUGGUUUAUUUAUUGGAUGAUUUUUGUUCAUAUUAUUAAUUUUUUAUAUAUAUAUAUAUUUCAACAAAUUUGUAGUAUGAAUAAAUUUGCAAGUUCUUGUUCAACAGUUCAUGGGCAGAAGUUGCUGACUGGCAGCAGUAACACCACAUUUUUCUAAAUUAAAUCUGUUAUUUUAUAAUAUGCUUUUAAACAUGCUCGAAUUACAUUAUCCUAAUUAUUACAAUAAUAAUAACGCAUCAAAACUUGUUAAUUACACAACUCAAUCCAUCCAAAGUUUUCCUCAUUUACUUGGGUGAAUCUUGUGAAAAAAUUAGCAUAUACAUGUGGUAACAUUUCAAGGAUGUAAACUUGUCUGAUAUAUAUAUACUUAAAGUCUGAUGAUGCCGCAUGAAUCAUGAAUGUAAAUUUGGUUAUGAUAAUAAUGAUGGAAAAUAGGUGAAAUAUUGUAACGUAAUUUAUUUCCUCGAGAGAAAAAAGAGAGAAUUAGAAUGGUUUGGAUUCUUUUUGGAUUGAAAUGAUGGAAACAGAGAUGGGGACCCAAAGGCAGGGUUUUAUUAUGGUCUAAAAGUCAAAGAACAAGAAAAUGCUUUCCUUCUCUUUUUCUGAUUUGUUAUUGUGGGAUUAAUCAUGCCACCACUUUUGGUUUCCAUUUUUAAAUAUUAAAUUAAAUUCGAUGUUUAAGUUAAUAUUCUUUCUCUUGAAGUUGAAGUAUAUUUUAAUGUUUACUUUUUUUUUCGUUAAUAAGAUUUUGAAGUCACCCACGAUACAAAGAAAUUAAGGUAUUUAUUAAUAUUUUAAAAAUUAAACUGAUGGUCCAAUCAAUCAAAUUAUAAAUACUCAAUUUAAGAAAUAAUAAAAAAUUUAUAAAAUUUAUAAAUCAAUUCAAAGCUUACUGGAGUAUUAAAAUGUUUUGGUCUUUCAUAGCUACAAAAGGACUAGGCCCAUCAACGUUGAGUAAGUAGACUGGAUCCAUUAAGCUGAGGUAUAACAACUAUAAUUUAGUUCACGACUCGUGCACUUUUCGUAUAAGAUAAAUCUUAAAAUUAUAUAUAAGUUUUAAUUUAAUAUAUAAUAUAAUUAUAUAUAUUUAUUUUACUGUCUUUGUUCGAGGUUCAUAACUGUCCCUUACAAUAAUAUUAUUUUCAAAGUUUAAAUCGAUGUCUCUCUUAAAAAAUGUAAUGUGCCUUAUCAUUACGUUCAAUAGUUAUUAGUAAUAAAUUUAUCUUUCAUUUUAUGUCAUUUAGAAAGUAUCAAAGAGAGAAGAAUGUACUCUUGAGCAUGCCAAGUACAUAGGUGAAAUUGCUUCGGUUAUGGUUUUGUAAAGAUUGUGAAUUUAUGUCUUCCACGGGAUUGAUGCUGCUUGGACAGAAAAAUGAUGGUUUCUGCUUUAGAGGGUGAUACAAAUGAUGAGAACAAAAUCCUUAGAAAACAACAUUGUUUUUAGAAUAAAUUCAGAAUAAGAGGUUGGAUAUUGAUUAAUUUGUGAAUCGGUAAGAUCGGUUAAAUAAAUUUUUUUAUUUUUAAUAAUAUAUUUAAUUGAACCAAAUAAAUUAAUUAAACCAAAAAUUGAUAGUGUGAUCAAUUUUUAGAAUUGAUACAAUUUUAAAAACCUUGCAAAACAAUAAUCUAACAAGCAUGUAUCCCUUGGUGUCCUACAACUCUAACCACUAGUGCUCUCAAUAAAAAGUAAAAAUUGUAUAAUUGUAUAAUAAUUUUGUGAAAAUUGAGAUUAAAAAUUAUUAAAAGAAUUAAAUUUUUUAAGAAAAAUAAAUUCUAUAAUUUAAUAGAAUGUGCUUCUAGAUAGGGGCUGGUACGGCCUGACCCCCUAAAAUUUUAAAAAAAUUAAAUUAAUAAAAAUAAAAUUACAUUUUAGCCACCUAAAAAUGAUAAAAAAUUAAUUUAAUUAAAUAAAAAUUAUAAAGAUAUGAAAUUGUAUUUUUACUAUAGUAAAAAUUAUAAUUUAACUUUGACCCUCUUAAAUAAAUUUUCUAACUUCGUCAUUAUUUCUAGAUAAUCUUACAUUCCAUCAACCCUAAAUCUUAAAUUCCAGCCAAAUAAACUUAAAUAAUCUCCAUCUUCCAUUUCUUUAAUCCUAUUACGAGGGUAUUACUAGUUGAACAAAAAAACAAAAAUUUGGGGUUAUUUUCUUUCAAUCAGAAUCUAAACUGUAUGCAUAUUCAAAUUUCAAACGAAUAACAAAAUGGGGCAAGCAGUUGAAGCUUUUAAAUGAAGAGAAAAAGACAUUUCAGUUCUUGAAAUCCAUCCAUUCUCAACCUAUUAAGGAUUCAAAUUCAAUCACAGCCACCAAUCCCGGCUAAAAAUUGUAUGGAAAUAGCACUUUCAAUAUCAUUACAUUUUAUAAUUUCGCAGGUCAUUUUGUAUUCACAUCAUUGUCAUUUGAAUUUAAAGUUUUAAUCUUUUAAGUAAAAUAAUUUUGAAUUCUACUCUGAGUUGAUAUUUUAAUCACUUUAAAUUCAAAUCAUUUAAGGUUAUUUGAUCGAGCUAUUCAAGUUUGGUUCUUAAUAAAUUUAGAAUGCAAAAUAGUAAUGGCAGUAAUGGAUGAAGAUGGGAUUCCACAGAAACCAGAUAUAGAUGGUAAAAAAACCAACUUCUCAUUAAAAAGAAUUGAAAGAAUUGGUCCACACACGAUGAAACAUUUCUCUUUCUCUGAUGCUUUAUCGUUUUAUCCGACAAGAGAAUAAACAUAUGUUGAUAGAACAAAGCUCAUGUCGAAAACCAUUUAGAAGCAUUUCCUGUGGACAAUUGAUGGACCCGAUUCAUCGUACUCUGCCUUGGCGAUCCACAUCUGCGACCGAAUAGGUUAAUGUAAGACAUCGAUCGAACGAAAUGUGAGCAUGUAAUGUAAAAGUAAAUUAACUUACUUGUUGGAAUGUGCUAAGGGAAGCCAAGAUCGAGCCGCCAAUCCAGACACUAUACUUCCUCUCAGGUGGAGCAACAACCUUAAUCUUCAUGCUGCUAGGAGCUAAAGCCGAGAUCUCCUUGGUCAUUCUAUCAGCGAUACCGGGGAACAUAGUUGUACCACCACUGAGUACAAUGUUACCGUACAAGUCUUUCCUAAUAUCGACGUCACAUUUCAUUAUCGAGUUGUAAGUUGUCUCGUGGAUGCCUGCAGCUUCCAUACCGAUCAUCGAUGGUUGGAAAAGCACUUCAGGGCAUCUAAAACGCUCGGCCCCGAUGGUAAUAAUCUGACCGUCUGGUAACUCGUAAGUCUUCUCUACCGAUGAGUUUGUUUUAGAGGUCUCUAAUUCCUGCUCGAAAUCCAGAGCAAUGUAUGAUAGCUUUUCCUUCACGUCCCUAACGAUUUCCCUCUCGGCUGUGGUUGUGAAUGAAUAUCCACGUUCGGUCAAAAUUUUCAUAAGGUUAUCGGUGAGGUCACGGCCAGCCAAGUCGAUACGAAGAAUAGCAUGCGGGAGGGCGUAACCCUCGUAUAUAGGGACCGUGUGGCUAACACCGUCUCCGGAAUCCAACACAAUACCUACAGAACAAGAUGUAAUUAUGAGAACCAUACUAAAAUUAUUAAAAUCAUUAGCCACUCAAUGGUUACUUACCGGUGGUACGACCACUGGCAUAAAGAGAGAGCACGGCCUGAAUGGCGACAUACAUAGCAGGUGCGUUGAAGGUCUCAAACAUAAUUUGGGUCAUCUUCUCACGAUUUGCUUUAGGGUUAAGAGGGGCUUCGGUAAGUAAAAUGGGGUGUUCUUCCGGGGCAACACGAAGCUCGUUAUAAAAAGUAUGAUGCCAAAUCUUUUCCAUAUCAUCCCAGUUGUUAACAAUACCAUGUUCAAUAGGGUAUUUCAAUGUCAAAAUACCUCUUUUUGAUUGAGCUUCAUCACCAACAUAUGCAUCUUUUUGGCCCAUACCAACCAUUACACCGGUGUGCCGAGGCCGACCGACGAUGCUAGGAAACACAGCUCGUGGUGCAUCAUCCCCAGCAAAUCCAGCCUAAACAUAAACAUUUCAUAAGCCUUUAAUCUUAAUAUUACAUAACAAUAAUAAUAAUAAAAGAGAGGCAAUUUUAAUCAUUUACCUUAACCAUUCCUGUUCCAUUGUCGCAAACAAGGGGUUGGAUAUCCUCGCCCUCUGCCAUCUUCUACAACCUGCUAUACAUUAACAAAUGACAAUCCAGUGAUGCAUAGAUCCUAUUAAGAAAACAACCCAGAAAAGAAAACAGAAAAAUGAAGGGUAAAGGACCUUGAGAAAACGAGGAAGUGGUUGAUGGCAGAGAAAAGCGAGGAUUAAAGCGAGAAGCAGACGACGAGGGAAGAGAGGAGAGGAAGGGGAGUUUAUAAAGGGCAUGAGAGUGAAUGUGAGCCGUUGGAUUAAUUUGUUUUUAUUCAUAUAUUUUUUGGGGAAAAAAAAAAGAUUGGCUUCCAUUCUUAACGGAUUUUCAAGUUAUUUUUUACUUUUUAUUUUGCCAUUUGGUAUUUGUUUAAUGCCUCUCAUUUUCUAAGGUUUGAUUUUGUUUUUUUUCCUUCUAUUUAUUAAUUAUAAUUUUCAAAAUUAUAAAUAUAUCUAUUUUAAAUUUAAAUAAUAUAAUUAUAUUUAAUUUUAAAAACAAAAUAAUUUAAAUUUUUUUAAAUAUAAAUAUUAUAAUAAUAGAUUGUGGUUUCUAAUUUAAUUUUGAAUUAUUAAAAGGUGAAUAUAGAUUAUUAAUUAAAUUUAAAUAUCGGUAUAACAUUAAUUAUAUUUUAAAUAUGUAUUUAGAUUUUAAUAGUGUAUUUAAUUUAUAAAAAAAAUUAUAAACUUAAAGAAGAUUUUUUUAAAUGAUUUUAAAUUUUUACAAUAACUUAUUAUAUAAAAUUGUAAAUUAAAUUAUUGAAUAUAAGUAAAUUAAAAAGAUUUAUUAUAAAAAAUAUAACUUACAAUACACCAUUAAAAAUUAUAUAAAAAGGCGAAGUGGUUUAAUGAAUUCGAUUCCUUAAAAAUUGUUUACAUUUUUUUACUCAUUCAAUAAACAACAUAAAAUCAUAAAUAUAUUUUUAAACAUCAAUUGUAUGAUAAAAGUCAUACCGUCAUCACGAGUAAGUCUAAAAAAAAAGAACUAAUAAGUUAAUUUAAAUGAGGUGUGUAUACUUUUUCUUUCGAGAAUUAUAAGAGGAGGGCAAAGUUUUAACAGUAAAAUGAUUAGCGGGACUUAAAUUUAAAUCACACUUAAGACUAUAAACACCCUAACUAUCAGGCUAACACAUAAAGUUGAAGUAUCUAUAAUUUUAAAAAGUGUUGUAGAUUUCAUAAAUUUGUCACCUUAAUCACGAUAAAAGGAAAUAUGCCAACAAGAUAUCAUGCGAUAAAAGGUUUAGGUGCUAAAUUAAAUAUUGAAGCCAAAAUUAAGCACUUAACUGAAAUAAAAAGAAAACUUAAAUAUCAAAUUGAAAAAACUCAUGUGCCAAAGUGAACAUUAAACCUAAACAUAGAUAUCAAAUUAGAACAAAAAAAUAAAUUUAAGUACCAAAUUGAACAUUAAAAUUAAAUUCAGAUACCAAAUAAUAUAUUAAAUAUAGCAUGUUGAAUUCAAUUCCAAGAAUAAAUAAAUAAGAAAUAGUUACCACCUAAAUUGGUUAUUGAAAAUUAUGAAUAAGAAUAAUUCAUGAUAGAUAUUGUAUUGAUUAAAAAUGUAAAUGGAGAGCAAAAUUGAAAAGUGUUUGAUGUUUAACAUUUCAUAAAUUUGACUGUUGAGUUAUAGAUUGGACAAGUUUCACCAUCAUGAUUUUGUAUUAAAAUUUGAAUUUGAAAUGUCUAAGUUAAAUUUUGGAAUAAGUGUUUGAGUUAAUUUGUUGGGUUUGAUUUUGAACUAUCAUUACUUUAGCUGCUAACCAACCUUCCAACUUAAAAAUAACUAGUUGGAUUGGACCUAGUCUAAGGCUUGAUUUUUUUUCUUUCCCUAGACUCUUCUUUUUGGUUUGGUCUUUACCAUUUUGUAAGCUCAAAUCACUACUUAUUUGAUAUUAAAAAUUUAAAAAUAUCUUUACAUUGAUAAAAUGUAUUUUGAGGAGUCGAUUUUUUUAGGAGAAAAUGUUGCUUGACGGUCUCUUAACAACCAAAUGUAUUGUUCCUCGGUGAUGGUUUUGUCUCCUAUGCUCUACCAAGAGCCAACAUGUCCUAAGCGGUUGCUUAGUGGACCUACUUCUCAUUGUUAGGAGCAUCUUAGUUGGUGGAGUUGUAGAGCUCAAAAGAGAUGUGUCAAUAUAGGCGUGUAAUAAUUAUGAAGCUCACUUGUGCGUGUAUGACCCACUUACCUACAACCAUGGCACCACUUGGGCAAAACUAUUGCUACAAGUGACCUAUAUGCCUCACAUUCAUGGUUUGAGUCCUAACAUGCCUAGUUGAGCUUCAUAAUAAUUAGAUGCCUUAUACUAACACUAUAAUAAUCCAAUUUUCAGUAGUGUUAAAAAAGAUAAUUUUGGAACUCCAUUUUCGUAAACUAAAUCCAUAAAUAUCAAAUAUGAAUAUUCACGGAGUUGGUAUAAUAAAAUUAAAGUUUAGUCCUUCAAUUUUGUCUAUCAAUUGCUUAAUUAGGGUACAAGGACUAAUUGUAAAAGUCUUAUCACUAUAGAUUUUUAAAUAGCUAAAGGUUCCAAAUUGUAAAUAAACCAUUUUAUUUCAUCCAAUAGUGGAGAAUGAUGUUAACAUCCACGAAUUUUAGUUAAUUAUGAUUAAGGUUAAGUAAUUAAGAUUCAAUUAAUUAAUUUUGAUUAAUUAAUAUUUAAACUAAGUAUAUAAAGGUAACUUAGUGCAUUUGUCAUCUUUAUUUUUCUUCUUCUUCUUUUUCUUCUUUUUCUUCUUCUUCAUUGAAGUAACAUAUAACCUAAAAGGAAAAAAAUCAUUUUUGAGCUCGAAGCUUUCGGUCCUUAAUUGGCAACCUUUUCCAAGUGCUUUUCUUGUAAUUUGUAUGUUUUUAAGGUUAUGAAAGCUUGAUUUAGCUAGCCCAUGUACCAAUUUGUAAAACUGUUAAAGUUUUUAGAAGUUGUCAUUGGUGAUUUCUGAAGAAAUUGGUGUUAAGUUGAUAGAUUUUAAGCUUAGAUGUGAAAAAGGACUAAAUUGUAAUGUGUAAAUUGUUAGUUUUGCACAUAAGGACUAAAGUGAAUAAAUUGUGAAAUUUAUAUGAAAUUUAAAUAAUAAUAGAUAGUGGAGGGUCUGAAAUAAAUGUAAUUGAAGUCGGUUUUUAAAUCGAGGCUUAAAAUUGAAAGUUAUAACUAUUUCGAUUUUAGGGACUAAAUUGAAUAAAAUGUAUGUAAGAACCAAUUUUGGCCCGGGCCCUUACAAACACAAAACAAAAAAAGAGAGAGAAUAAAUUAUAAUAAAAAUAUUAUAACAGUCCAAAUAUUACAACCCAUUUACAACAAAUAUUAACAGUUCAUUGGCCCAAAAUAACCCUAGCCCAAUAUUACACAACAAAGCAGGCCCAAAUGGCCUGAAAGUUUGGCAAUCACAGAAACCCUAGGUCACCCUCUUGCGCCGCAACAGCUCCACAGCAGCCUUUAGCCUCUAAGCGCCGUACAACCACCAGCAGCCUCCGUACACGCCAGCUACCUUCGCCACGUUGCCUCCGUACCUGCAAAAGAAGACAAGCAAAGGACAAACACAACAGCAAAUACAAAAAAAUAUAUAGAAAAAAUUGUAUUUUUUUAUUUUAUUUUGAUUUUCCUUUUCUGCUAUAAAGCCAAGAGAUUUCAUCAUCUGUAAACGUUACGUAUACUGAAUACCAAAAAAAGUAAUCAAAAAUCAAAAAGGUUAUCAAAAAGGUGAAUUCAAAAUCUGUUUACUGCCCUUUUUCCGUUUCUAUCGAUUUGUUUGCAAUUUUAGCAUGAAAAAAGAAAAAAGGGAUGCUUGAAUCGAUGCCGAUGAGAGCCCAAAUAUCUCAAAAGUAUGGAAAUGUGGGCGAGGGUCGAACAGUGUUGGGUUUUUGUUACUCUUCUAAUUUUGCUUCGUUUUUUUUAAAGGAUAGUAUAGGAUUUGAAGUUUUUUUUUUAAAAAAAAAAGAAAGAGGGAAAGAGCAAACUUACCAGAUUUCCAUGGUCGUGGCCUCCGUUGGCAAGAUCUGGCUACUGUUCGCGCAUCGUCGGCCACCAAAUAGAAUGGUGAUCCGGUGGCUACAUGCUAAAUGAAGCCCUAACAGAGUGGGUUAAUAGCUUUGUUUCUUUAAUUAAGAGAUUGGAUGUGUUUUAAGAAAAAAUGGAUGAGAAUGAAGGUCUAACAGCAAAAUUAAAAACGACGCCGUCCCAAAGGGGGAAGGAUCCGCGUUUUGACCUGAUCGGUAGGCUGGAUCCGCGUUCUUUUGUUUGAAAGGGUUAAUUGCGCGCUAGGUCCUCCCCCUUUGCGCGGUCGUUCAAUCUCAUGUUGUUUGUUUUAUUUCUUUUUUAAAAUUUAACCCUGUAAUUAGUGCUUAUUUGCGAUUGGGUCCACGCCUCAAUGAGGUGUUUUGGGAUCUGGAAUAAUUCCAGCUUUAGUCCUUGUGAAUUUGAGCACAUUGUACGCUGGUCCCUAUUUUGGGUUUCUUUUAUUUUUGAAUUAUCCCUCUUAUUUUAAUUCAGUUUUAAU
RNAcentral lists this long non-coding RNA (37120 nucleotides) under Gossypium barbadense (sea-island cotton). RNAcentral describes it as "long non-coding RNA (GBAR_LNC012094)". Lineage: Eukaryota; Viridiplantae; Streptophyta; Magnoliopsida; Malvales; Malvaceae. The record is from RNAcentral.